This 463-nucleotide ribosomal RNA is filed under the name uncultured bacterium. Its description in RNAcentral is "partial 16S ribosomal RNA". It matches the Rfam family "Bacterial small subunit ribosomal RNA", at positions 29 to 507 of the family's 1533-position model. The record is from RNAcentral.
AGUGAACGCUGGCGGCGUGCCUAAUACAUGCAAGUCGAACGAUGAAGUCCUAGCUUGCUAGGAUGGAUUAGUGGCGCACGGGUGAGUAAUAUAUAGUUAAUCUGCCCUACACAGAGGAACAACAGUUGGAAACGGCUGCUAAUACCUCAUACUCCUAUUAGACAUAAGUUAAAUAGGGAAAGUCUUUUCGGUGUAGGAUGAGACUAUAUCGUAUCAGCUAGUUGGUAAGGUAAUGGCUUACCAAGGCUAUGACGCGUAACUGGUCUGAGAGGAUGAUCAGUCACAUUGGAACUGAGACACGGUCCAAACUCCUACGGGAGGCAGCAGUAAGGAAUAUUGCGCAAUGGGGGAAACCCUGACGCAGCAACGCCGCGUGGAGGAUGACACUUUUCGGAGCGUAAACUCCUUUUAUCAGGAAAGAAUAAUGACGGUACCUGAUGAAUAAGCACCGGCUAACUCCGUG